RNAcentral lists this ribosomal RNA (497 nucleotides) under uncultured bacterium. RNAcentral's name for it is "partial 16S ribosomal RNA". It matches the Rfam family "Bacterial small subunit ribosomal RNA", at positions 28 to 507 of the family's 1533-position model. The record is from RNAcentral.
GAUGAACGCUGGCGGCGUGCCUAAUACAUGCAAGUCGAGCGAACAGACGAGGAGCUUGCUCCUCUGACGUUAGCGGCGGACGGGUGAGUAACACGUGGAUAACCUACCUAUAAGACUGGGAUAACUUCGGGAAACCGGAGCUAAUACCGGAUAAUAUAUUGAACCGCAUGGUUCAAUAGUGAAAGACGGUUUUGCUGUCACUUAGAGAUGGAUCCGCGCCGGAUUAGCUAGUUGGUAAGGUAACGGCUUACCAAGGCAACGAUGCGUAGCCGACCUGAGAGGGUGAUCGGCCACACUGGAACUGAGACACGGUCCAGACUCCUACGGGAGGCAGCAGUAGGGAAUCUUCGGCAAUGGGCGAAAGCCUGACGGAGCAACGCCGCGUGAGUGAUGAAGGUCUUCGGAUCGUAAAACUCUGUUAUUAGGGAGGAACAAAUGUGUAAGUAACUAUGCACGUCUUGACGGUACCUAAUCAGAAAGCCACGGCUAACUACGUG